This 497-nucleotide ribosomal RNA is filed under the name uncultured bacterium. Its description in RNAcentral is "partial 16S ribosomal RNA". It matches the Rfam family "Bacterial small subunit ribosomal RNA", at positions 28 to 507 of the family's 1533-position model. The record is from RNAcentral.
GAUGAACGCUGGCGGCGUGCCUAAUACAUGCAAGUCGAGCGAACAGACGAGGAGCUUGCUCCUCUGAUGUUAGCGGCGGACGGGUGAGUAACACGUGGAUAACCUACCUAUAAGACUGGGAUAACUUCGGGAAACCGGAGCUAAUACCGGAUAACAUGUUGAACCGCAUGAUUCAACAGUGAAAGACGGUCUUGCUGUCACUUAUAGAUGGAUCCGCGCCGCAUUAGCUAGUUGGUAAGGUAACGGCUUACCAAGGCAACGAUGCGUAGCCGACCUGAGAGGGUGAUCGGCCACACUGGAACUGAGACACGGUCCAGACUCCUACGGGAGGCAGCAGUAGGGAAUCUUCCGCAAUGGGCGAAAGCCUGACGGAGCAACGCCGCGUGAGUGAAGAAGGUCUUCGGAUCGUAAAACUCUGUUAUUAGGGAAGAACAAAUGUGUAAGUAACUAUGCACGUCUUGACGGUACCUAAUCAGAAAGCCACGGCUAACUACGUG